AGAGCGAACGCUGGCGGCAGGCCUAACACAUGCAAGUCGAGCGCCCCGCAAGGGGAGCGGCAGACGGGAGAGUAACACGUGGGAACGUACCCUUCAGUUCGGAACAACCCAGGGAAACCUUGGGCUAAUACCGAAUACGUCCGUAAGGAGAAAGAUUUAUCGCUGAAGGAUCGGCCCGCGUCUGAUUAGCUAGUUGGUGAGGUAACGGCUCACCAAGGCUACGAUCAGUAGCUGGUCUGAGAGGAUGAUCAGCCUCACUGGGACUGAGACACGGCCCAGACUCCUACGGGAGGCAGCAGUGGGGAAUAUUGGACAAUGGGCGCAAGCCUGAUCCAGCCAUGCCGCGUGGAUGAUGAAGGCCUUAGGGUUGUAAAAGUCCUUUCGACGGGGAAGAUAAUGACGGUACCCGUAGAAGAAGCCCCGGCUAACUUCGCGCCAGCAGCCGC
This 446-nucleotide ribosomal RNA is filed under the name uncultured bacterium. RNAcentral describes it as "SSU rRNA". It matches the Rfam family "Bacterial small subunit ribosomal RNA", at positions 26 to 518 of the family's 1533-position model. The record is from RNAcentral.